CUAAUAAUUUCAGAAUUUCUGAAGACAGUAACAGACUUGGAGAAAAGGUGACCUCCAAGUUAACGCUGACCUCUUUAGGGUCAGGCGGCAGGGCAUUUAAGUGGGCUGACAGCGUGCUGGUACAGGCAUUACAGGCCGGUCACUGGCUACUUAUCGACAAUGUCAACUUCUGCAGUGCCUUCGUCCUAGAUAGACUGAAUGCCCUGUUGGAGCCCCACGGCGUCCUUAACAUCAACGAAAGAGGUGUAAUCGAUGGUGUCAUCCCAACCAUAACACCACAUCCUAACUUCAGGAGGAUGGGUCACUAUACAGCUCUCAUGAUGUCAAGGUCAUGUUACAAGGUCAAGGUCUCAGAUGAUGGAGCCUGUGAUUGGCUGAUGUCUCUACAUACUGACAUGAGAGAGAAUAUCUCACUUGGGGAACGGCCUGUCAUACUCGAUCUAAUCCGUGCUGCCAUGGUGAGGCAACAGCAGACAGAUAGAGGCAUUUUUAUUGGUCAAGGCAUUGAUACAUGCAUCGUGUGAUGGGUAUGUCAAGAAUAUCAGAAGUUUUGUGACGAGAAAGGUAGGUGUAUGUACACUGUGCUGAUUUCAUGUAUUGAUUUACUGAAGAAACCUUUGUAUAAAGCUAUUUACUUACUGCUAUAUCUAACAGACAAGUUCUCCAGCUCUGUCAAAAUUUAGACACUUUUGUGUAUUUCCUCCUUGUAGAGUUGUACAACCUUAGAGAACACCAAGAUGUACAGACAAUUUCUAUUAUGAAAUGUGAGUGAAGCAAAAACAUAUUAUCUUAUAAGUCCUUUACCAGUGAAACAAGGUAGGACUAUAGUUUUCCUCUCCGUCCGUCUUGUAUGAAGGUAGGUAAUGCCAAAGUUAGUCAGCACUCUAGAGGCUUCAUUCCUUGAGCGAUUUUGAUCAAACUUCACACAAUGAUAAAGGACCAUAAUAUUUUAUUAUAUAAUAUUUUGGACAAGAUUCUGUUUUAGGGUGACUGUUACUAUUUUUAGUGAGGGGGGUUAGGGGACAUGUAUUAAUGCUUUGGCAAUACCCGGUAUGCUUGUUUAUCCACUCGUCCACUGAAAGGUGGAAAGGCCGUAAUAGUGGACAGUAAACUGGUUAAUGAUAAUAAUGAUAAAUUGUUUAUCUUGUUAUACCCUUAAUCAAUAGUCAUUAUAUAAAUGUAUUGAGUAAAAAUGCCAAAGUUUAACUGUUGUGGUCGCUGGUUCAAACAAACUGUUAAAAUUAACUGUUAAAAUUGACUGUUGACCGCUAACCUUUCCGGAAGUACCCGAAUGCGUCCGAGUGAUUACGAUUUCCUGUAAACAUUAGAGUUACUUUCCCUUGUCGUUUGCACAACCUGAAAUGGCUAUGAGUGGUGCAGACGGUUUAUGUAGGUUUGCCCUGGCAUCUAAACACGAAAUACAGCAAAUUUUGGAUGACCAUGACAGCAAAAAUACGAAAAAUGUGGUGAAAACAGCGGAAAACAUCUUGACUGACUUUCUGUUGACAUGCGAUCUCUCUCUUACGCUGAUCAAAGAUUAUUCAACUGAGGAUUUGAACGAUUUGCUGAGAAAGUUCUACUGUGCCGUUCGUACAUGUUAAAGGAUUUGCCCUGGGUAGACGGGACCACACUGAGCUUUGUGACAUAUAUGUACUGUUGCCCCAGAAGGAAGAACUGCUGAAAGCUAUUGCCUCCCUUCAGCUAACAAAUUACGUAGAUGUUAUCAAGGUACUCUGACCCCAACCUUGACUGUUGUGAGUACUCUGACCUUGACUGGUGUAGGUACUAGAUGCAGUGAAGUGGAGGUAUAGACUCUUGGAUGCAUGUGAAGGUUCUAUCACAGGAGAAGAAAUGGAGUACCACUACAUGGCCUUACACUGGCACAUGUUCUACAAGAGGACGUGGCUCCUACUGAAAGACCGAUGAGUACCACAUGAAGGUAAAACAGAUUCAAGAGACUCUGAAAAAACUUGGCUUGGAUAAAAAGACUGAGGAUGAUUUGACUACUGACAUUAUCCAAUCACAGCCAGAGAGUAUUGACAUAGCUACCAGGUCACCAUGGCAACAUGUGUGUUUGUGGCCUCUUUUUGAGUAUGUUUCCCUCUUUGCUGCGGCAGCAUCAGUCCUGCAUCUCUACUCUUGCAACAUUCCUGAUGGAUGCCAGAGCUAAACUGACUUCUGUUUGACCUUCACCCCAAUGUCUCCAGAACAGGUCACUCAGUACCAGAACCUCGGACAAACUAACAAACAGCAGAGUUGGAUGAUUCUGCAAAAACAACUAUUCAGUACAGCUGUGAAACUUAUUGGCUUCAAUAGAGUGAAGAAGAAGAGGAAGAGCAAAACACAGCCAUGUAUCACCGUAACGACAGUGUCUAUGGUCUGUAUGCAUUCCAUAUGGCCACGCCAACCUAUGCUAUGUUUACAUUUCUGUGUGGGGGUAGCCAGGACAAGAGGCCCAUGGGGUCCAGCCCAUCUGACCUCCAGUGUCUACAGGUGUAUUUAGGACAGUGUCAGGCCCAGGCUCAGAGACUCUCUCUUGUUGCUAGGCAUCUCUGGUCACAUGCCUCCUUGUUGUCAUGCCAACAGCUCUCUCCAAGAUUUUUGGAAAAAUGGCAUUUAUGGGAGGUUUUUGUCUUCUUCCUGAAAUCUGCCACCACAAUUGUCUCCCCAAGUCUGAGAUCUACCUAGUACAAUUCAAUGAAAUCCAAGCCAUGAUGACAGAGGUCAGAGGUCAGGCUGCCAAAUAUGAGGUUGACAUUGAUGAGAUGCUGAAAAAACAGACUUGAUCUGUGCCAAAUUUGUCUGAGUGAGAGUUUACCAGACUUGGUGUGUCAGAUAGAGAGGUGUUUCUGUAGUGUGUUGAAGGCAUUUACGGCUGACUCGGCCAGUGUGGACCAUGUAGCGAAAAUAGCAAUAAAACUCAAAUACGCCAGACAAGAGUUAAUGGACACACAGGCCGAGCUGAGUGUGUAUAAUCAGCAUCAUCUUUUGACCACUGGUCAGCCACUCUCCAGUCUGCCUGACCACUUGUUACAUCCUCCCAUACCUCACUUGGUUGCCAUGACAAAAUAUCUCCAGGUAAAGGUCUUCCUACUGGAACUACAGCAGGCCUACAGACCAAAACCCUCCAAGUUUAAAUUUCUUGUAAGCAAUGUCAAGGACUAUUUAUCAAGUGUCGGCAGUGAGGAUCACAUUCUCCAACUUCUUGACAGACUUACAUCAGUUGCCAUGACAACGGGUAACAAGUUUGUCGAGGAAAGGAUGUGGCAGAGUUCCUUUCUCGACAAUCUCGAUACUCUGUAUCCAGAGUAUCGUUACUUAAUGACCCCAUUAAAUCUCGCCAUGCAGGUCAGACAUGGCCUCCAUCUAGUGGCAGGAUGUGCUCAGCAGCGACAAAUUAGGUGAUUGGUCAACAGUCUCUGGAGAAACUGGAAGAGAAAUUGCUGAUGAUGUCCAAGUUCCCAACAGUAUAUGAAGCUUUUCCUAGUAAUCUUGAUCUAGUGAAGUCUUUAAUCUCUGACCUUACAUCAAGCCUCCUUCUGACUGUGAUCAAGCGAGAGGAUACACAGGAUAAUAAAUACCAGCAGCAGAAACAGCUUAUUUCAAGGUUACUACAUGCCAGCCUUGACCUUGUGAAUGAAGUCAGACAGUUUGGUAAGGAGAGAGGUGACCUCAGACAUGACCUUCACCUUGUCCAUGUUAUUCCAUCAAUUUGUAACAACAUGGCAGAGGCAAGAGAAGGGAAAGAGAGAGCGAGAGAAGGAGGAAGAAAGUCUUUAUCGGUAUAAGUCCAAAGUCCCCGGAGAUGACAGACACAUUGAUGUGAUUGAGGAAAAGGAAUUCAGGAGCAGCUUCCCAACUUUUGUUAAUGAAUUCAUGAACAUCACCGGUACUGACACGCUGGACGAAUCUGUCGAGAUGGAGACACAGGACAAGAUGGGAGGAGGUGAUAAGGAGGAGACAACUCCAGACAUGAUCACGGAGGAGGAGAUGUUCCAUGUGUACAAGACCCAUCGUCAGGUGUUCACCUGCCUUUGUCGGGCUAGAUGGUUACCACGGUUACCAGCGCCUCAGGUGGACACUGCUGACCUGGUAGCGCCCUCCCUACUAUGUCGGGAGUGUGAUAGCAAUUUUAUUAAUGAUGUCCUGUUUAACAAAAAUAACAGAAAGGAUCUUAAACUUCACGGUGACUUGUCCCAUAAUGAAGUUCCUCACCGGCUUUGAACUAUUGUUAGAGAAAGCUCUGGAGUGGUAGAGUAAUGCUGCCCGACAAGUUUCCAUGGUGUGACACAACUGGCAGACGUAUCACUUCUGAUCAUGCAGUGGAGGAAACUAGAACUCAGCUACACUGUUGUCUUUCCUAUGGAAUCUUCAUCAGUUCUAUUACCAGUUUACUGACGUUGUACAAAAGGAACUUGAUAAACUGAUGUCUCCUAUACUGAAGGAACUCAAGGCAAUAUUAGAGGUACCCGUCUGAGGUAUACUAAAGGAAGGUGGUUCCGAGGUGGACAGUGUCGGUCAGCCAUCGUUGUGGCUGUCUGAGCUGUCAGAAGCUGUCUCAAGUAUCAACUUCACAUCAGUCAUAAUUCAGAAGAAGAAUACAGAAUUACCCAGUGUCCUGUCUGAAGAGUUGUUUCCCUUACAAGGUCGUUAACUGGCAUUGUGUCAUAGAGCCGGCCGGAAUAUCUCACAAAAUACAUGGCUGCCACAGGGUACACAUAUCACAUCAAGGUGAUGGACGAGGCCACAGUAACAUUAUACUGAGCAUCAUGGGCACAUUUAACUUGUAGCCAACAGUUCCAUUUUGUUUUCGUCCAGGUGACAUCAUCAAAACAAUACAUGAGCUCCAGUCCCUUGAAGUUGAUCAGUCAGCAGAUAAAGACAAGCAGAAGUCAGAAGCCAAACACAUCCAUUAGAAGAAGAGGAAAGCCUUGACAGAUCUGUUUAAACAUCUGGAAUACAUAGGUUAGGCGAGGCAAUGUCCACCUUGGGAGACGGCUUUGGUCAGUACUACAACAGACGUAUAGCCAGGAAUUUUGGGUUUAUGGCCACAAUACAGACACCUUCAAAUGAGCUGGGUGGAGUUACAUUGACCGAUGUAAAGGGUUCACAGAACACAUGUUUGACCUCCUGAUCCGUCAGUACCGAAGUCUGUACAGUAUCAGUGAUAGUUUCUGCCAUCUCAGACUAGAGGACGAUGUGAGUCGACCUCAGCCUCCGGUCCAGCAGCUGACUGACUGGACGGUAACUGUACCACACUGCCGAUGGAAGAUACUGUGAAACAAGUGUGUGAUACGGAAUAGAGAGACCACUGAAACAUUGUGAUGAGAUUGUACAUAAUUUCAUCUUCAGCCUCUAUUCACCAGUAUCAGAGCGGCAGAUGUAUUUAGUAAUGUUCAUCUGGCUGUCCCUCCAUCCUUCUGUCUAUCUGUCUGUCCCUCCAUCUUUCUGUCUAUCUGUCUGUCCCUCCACCUUUCUGUCUAUCUGUCUGUCCCUCCACCUUUCUGUCUAUCUGUCUGUCCCUCCACCUUUCUGUCUAUCUGUCUGUCCCUCCAUGUUUCUGUCUGUCUGUCCCUCCACUUGUUUAUCUGUCUGUCCCUCGGCUUUUCUGUCAAUCUGUCUGUCCCUCCACCUUUCUGUCUAUCUGUCUGUUCCUCCACCUUUCUGUCUAUCUGUCUGUCCCUCUACCUUUCUAUCUAUUUUUCAGUCCCUCUGUCUGUCCAUCUGCCUGUCCAUCUAUCAGUCUAUCCACUUUUCUGCCCAUUCAUAAAUGCAUGUCCAGAGGUAAUAUUAGACUCUACUGUCUAAAAUUGUUGAAAUUCCAUGUGAUAUAUAAUAAACACAUAAUUAUAUUGAUACUAAAAUAUGUCCUGUAUAUUUUAACAUAGCCCUGAAGAUCCAGUUCACUGUUUCUGAAGAUAGAACAAGGAUAUACUGGUUUUGAAUCGGGCCUUUUUGUCUCAGUUUGGGGAGAAAAUUGGUUAAUUGUCUGAGAAAGAUUUUUUCAGGAGUAAACUGCAAAUUCUGGGAAUUUGGUUUUAAUAUGAAAUAAUUCCAAUUGGGAAUGGGGCCUAUCAACAGCCUCAUUUGUAAAAUAUUUUUAGUUUCCUAAUUUAUAUGAGAGUUCAUUUAUGUUUUAUCUAUGUCCACUAACUGGUAGUACAAUGUCUUUCACUGACUGAGAUGAAUUAAAACUGCUGGUUGUAACUGUAUUAUGAUUUCCUCCACAGUUGCGGAUCAAGGCUAUGCUAGUCACUGUACUGGAAGGAAUGGCACAGUUGGAAGCUCUCCUGAACUGCUGCCCCUCGGCAGGAAAUGGACUGUCCCAUCACCCCUCACCCUUCCCCUCCUCCAAACUUUCCGACAUGUCACUGGUUUGUCUUGGCGACCAAAUCUGGAGUGAGACAUCUAAUAAGGUCAAGACCACCUGAUGUACAACCUUGAGAGAUUAGUGCCUGAUCUGGAUUCAGUAGAAGCAGGUUUCCGUACUCCAGGCAGUUCCAACCUGUCCAUCUUCACUGACACCCUGGCCUUCCUCCGACAUCACAUCACAAACACCGUCUCGGAGUUCCAGGAAUUGGUGGGAACAGGCCCUCGGUCAAACCACUGGGUCUUAGGUUACCACGGAAACACACACGUCCAAGGACUUUGGUACCAAGUUUGAAAGCCUGAUUUCUAGUCUACUCUUAGUAAUUCAGAAUCUCUCCAAGUUAUGUGUACCGGAGGAUAACAAUACACAGGAAGACAAAGAUGAAGAAUCACAGGAAGGACAUUUUGUCAAGUUACUUUGUGACAGAGUGGAGCAGGAACCAGUCAUUAUCAGCUGUGUCAAGAUCAGAGAGGAGCUCCAGGCCAUACUGAAUAAUCUGACUGAAC
Pecten maximus is the source of this 6876-nucleotide RNA transcript. It is a transcript of the gene named midasin-like, with no coding region annotated. The record is from RefSeq and is a predicted model, not a curated record. The transcript has 27 exons. NCBI's taxonomy places the organism in Eukaryota, Metazoa, Mollusca, Bivalvia, Pectinida, Pectinidae.